AAAAGGCGGCGUAAGCUGUCGCUAAAGGAUGGACCCGCGGUGCAUUAGCUAGUUGGUAAGGUAACGGCUUACCAAGGCGACGAUGCAUAGCCGAGUUGAGAGACUGAUCGGCCACAUUGGGACUGAGACACGGCCCAAACUUCUACGGGAGGCAGCAGUAGGGAAUCUUCCACAAUGGGCGAAAGCCUGAUGGAGCAACGCCGCGUGAGUGAAGAAGGUUUUCGGAUCGUAAAGCUCUGUUGUUGGUGAAGAAGGAUAGAGGUAGUAACUGGCCCCUAUUUGACGGUAAUCAACCAGAAAGUCACGGCUAACUACGUGCCAGCAGCCGCGGUAAUACGUAGGUGGCAAGCGUUGUCCGGAUUUAUUGGGCGUAAAGCGAGCGCAGGCGGAAAGAUAAGUCUGAUGUGAAAGCCCCCGGCUUAACCGAGGAAUUGCAUCGGAAACUGUGUUUCUUGAGUGCAGAAGAGGAGAGUGGAACUCCAUGUGUAGCGGUGGAAUGCGUAGAUAUAUGGAAGAACACCAGUGGCGAAGGCGGCUCUCUGGUCUGUAACUGACGCUGAGGCUCGAAAGCAUGGGUAGCGAACAGGAUUAGAUACCCUGGUAGUCCAUGCCGUAAACGAUGAGUGCUAAGUGUUGGGAGGUUUCCGCCUCUCA
This 654-nucleotide ribosomal RNA is filed under the name uncultured bacterium. Its description in RNAcentral is "bacterial SSU rRNA". It matches the Rfam family "Bacterial small subunit ribosomal RNA", at positions 202 to 842 of the family's 1533-position model. The record is from RNAcentral.